Molecule: ribosomal RNA, 433 nt
Filed under: uncultured bacterium
Lineage: Bacteria
Description: partial 16S ribosomal RNA
Rfam family: Bacterial small subunit ribosomal RNA
Source: RNAcentral
AACGAACGCUGGCGGCAUGCCUAACACAUGCAAGUCGAACGAGACCUUCGGGUCUAGUGGCGCACGGGUUCGUAACGCGUGGGAACCUGCCCUUAUGUUCGGAAUAACUCCCCGAAAGGGGUGCUAAUACCGGAUAAUGUCUUCGGACCAAAGAUUUAUCGCCUUUGGAUGGGCCCGCGUUGGAUUAGCUAGUUGGUAGGGUAAAAGCCUACCAAGGCGACGAUCCAUAGCUGGUCUGAGAGGAUGAUCAGCCACACUGGGACUGAGACACGGCCCAGACUCCUACGGGAGGCAGCAGUGGGGAAUAUUGGACAAUGGGCGAAAGCCUGAUCAAGCAAUGCCGCGUGAGUGAUGAAGGCCUUAGGGUUGUAAAGCUCUUUUACCCGGGAUGAUAAUGACAGUACCGGGAGAAUAAGCUCCGGCUAACUCCGUG